RNAcentral lists this transfer RNA (58 nucleotides) under hydrothermal vent metagenome. Its description in RNAcentral is "tRNA-Pseudo-TTT". It matches the Rfam family "tRNA", at positions 8 to 63 of the family's 71-position model. From Rfam's summary of the family: Transfer RNA (tRNA) molecules are approximately 80 nucleotides in length. The record is from RNAcentral.
UAGCUCAGCUGGUAGAGCACGUCACUUUUAAUGAUGUGGCCGAUGGUUCGAAUCCAUC